This is a transfer RNA of 76 nucleotides. It matches the Rfam family "tRNA". From Rfam's summary of the family: Transfer RNA (tRNA) molecules are approximately 80 nucleotides in length. Their secondary structure includes four short double-helical elements and three loops (D, anti-codon, and T loops). Further hydrogen bonds mediate the characteristic L-shaped molecular structure. tRNAs have two regions of fundamental functional importance: the anti-codon, which is responsible for specific mRNA codon recognition, and the 3' end, to which the tRNAs corresponding amino acid is attached (by aminoacyl-tRNA synthetases). tRNAs cope with the degeneracy of the genetic code in two manners: having more than one tRNA (with a specific anti-codon) for a particular amino acid; and 'wobble' base-pairing, i.e. permitting non-standard base-pairing at the 3rd anti-codon position.
GCGGGAAUAGCUCAGUUGGUAGAGCGCAACGUUGCCAAGGUUGAGGUCGCGAGUUCGAGUCUCGUUUCCCGCUCCA